GAUGAAGAACGUAGCGAAAUGCGAUAAGUAAUGUGAAUUGCAGAAUUCAGUGAAUCAUCGAAUCUUUGAACGCACAUUGCGCCCCCUGGUAUUCCGGGGGGCAUGCCUGUUCGAGCGUCAUUUCACCACUCAAGCCUCGCUUGGUAUUGGGCAACGCGGUCCGCCGCGUGCCUCAAAUCGACCGGCUGGGUCUUCUGUCCCCUAAGCGUUGUGGAAACUUUCGCUAAAGGGUGUUCGGGAGGCUACGCCGUAAAACAACCCCAUUUCUAAGGUUGACCUCGGAUCAGGUAGGGAUACCCGCUGAACUUAAGCAUAUCAAUAAGCGGAGGA
This 330-nucleotide unclassified non-coding RNA is filed under the name soil metagenome. Its description in RNAcentral is "partial contains 5.8S ribosomal RNA, internal transcribed spacer 2, and large subunit ribosomal RNA". The stretch from base 1 to 120 matches the Rfam family "5.8S ribosomal RNA", at positions 35 to 154 of the family's 154-position model. The record is from RNAcentral.